This 107-nucleotide small nuclear RNA is filed under the name Marmota monax (woodchuck). Lineage: Eukaryota; Metazoa; Chordata; Mammalia; Rodentia; Sciuridae. The record is from RNAcentral.
GUGCUCGCUUCGGCAGCACAUAUACUAAAAUUGGAACCAUACAGAGAAGAUUAGCAUGGCCCUUGUGGAAGGAUGAUACACAAAUUCGUGAAACAUUCCAUAUUUUU